Molecule: ribosomal RNA, 413 nt
Filed under: uncultured bacterium
Lineage: Bacteria
Description: bacterial SSU rRNA
Rfam family: Bacterial small subunit ribosomal RNA
Source: RNAcentral
CAGUUGGGAAUCUUGGACAAUGGGGGAAACCCUGAUCCAGCCAUGCCGCGUGAGUGAUGAAGGCCUUCGGGUUGUAAAACUCUUUCGCGCACGACGAUAAUGACGGUAGUGCGAGAAGAAGCUCCGGCUAACUUCGUGCCAGCAGCCGCGGUAAUACGAAGGGGGCUAGCGUUGUUCGGAAUUACUGGGCGUAAAGCGCGCGCAGGCGGUCUUCCAAGUCAGUGGUGAAAGCCCGGAGCUCAACUCCGGAACUGCCAUUGAAACUGUGAGACUUGAGUAUGAGAGAGGUGAGUGGAAUUCCCAGUGUAGAGGUGAAAUUCGUAGAUAUUGGGAAGAACACCGGUGGCGAAGGCGGCUCACUGGCUCAUUACUGACGCUCAGGCGCGACAGCGUGGGGAUCAAACAGGAUUAGA